Molecule: small RNA, 751 nt
Filed under: Pan troglodytes (chimpanzee)
Lineage: Eukaryota; Metazoa; Chordata; Mammalia; Primates; Hominidae
Description: retained intron
Source: RNAcentral
GGCAGGGCUGGCUGAACUGCCAGCGGUUGGUCAUUGACGAGAUCUCAAUGGUGGAGGCAGACCUGUUUGACAAACUGGAGGCCGUGGCCAGAGCUGUCCGGCAGCAGAACAAGCCAUUCGGAGGGAUCCAGCUCAUCAUCUGUGGGGACUUUCUGCAGCUGCCACCUGUGACCAAGGGCUCCCAGCCCCCACGGUUCUGCUUCCAGGUAUUACUCACCUCCUAGCUCUGCUCUCCUUGGGGGUCUGCUCUGCUCCUUGACCCACCCCCACCCUGCCCCCACCAGUCCAAGAGCUGGAAGAGGUGUGUGCCAGUGACCCUGGAGCUGACCAAGGUGUGGAGGCAGGCAGACCAGACCUUCAUCUCUCUACUGCAGGCCGUGAGGCUAGGCAGGUGGGCUCUGCCCUGACAGUCCAGCCCCAACAGGUGUUCAGAUGAGGUGACCCGCCAGCUCCAGGCCACAGCUUCCCACAAGGUGGGGCGAGAUGGGAUUGUGGCCACGAGGCUCUGCACCCACCAGGAUGAUGUGGCCCUCACCAACGAGAGGCGGCUUCAGGAGCUGCCAGGUAAGGUACACAGAUUUGAGGCUAUGGACAGCAACCCUGAGCUGGCCAGUACCCUGGAUGCCCAGUGUCCUGUUAGCCAGCUCCUUCAACUAAAGCUGGGGGCCCAGGUGAGUGGGAAGCAGGGCCUAGCCCCUGGGAGCUUGGGCUGUCCCGCAUGGGCCUUGCUGAUCCCUACCCCUCUGCCCAG